Vicia villosa (hairy vetch) is the source of this 1980-nucleotide long non-coding RNA. RefSeq lists it as uncharacterized. NCBI's taxonomy places the organism in Eukaryota, Viridiplantae, Streptophyta, Magnoliopsida, Fabales, Fabaceae. The record is from RefSeq and is a predicted model, not a curated record. The transcript is spliced from 5 exons.
UCUGAAACAUCUUACUUUUCCUCUUCAUACGCAAAAUGCCUUUCUCAUAUACCCAUUCAAAUCUCAUCUCAUUCUUCAAAUCAACAUCACACGUAGCAGUUAAUAUUCCCAAGUUCCAAUUCAUCAUUCAUGGAGCAGCCAUCAUCAUUCAUCGAUUUUCCUUCAAAUUUAUUUUUUUCUCAUGAUUUGGAUCUUCUUCCCAGGGUGGUGUUAAAGGGAAGUUUGAUGAGGCGUUGAAGUAGGUGCAUGAAAUAGAGAAACAAGGACUGAUAUAUGAUCAGUAGACACAAUCUUGAUAUGCUGGCAAUCUAUGAUUCAGAUUUUUAUAAGUGCGUGAGAUAGAGAAAUGGGUUCGGAUAAGCUUGCCAGCAUCUAAGAAGGAAUUAAGUGAUACACAAUCCUGAUGUGGUGAACAUUAACAGGCCUGCAUUGGAUCAAGCUGUUGUAGUGUUGACACAUAUACGAAAAAACUUCUUCAAGAGGUAGGCUCAUAUGUUGGUGAAGUUGUCAAAGUUAUCGGCAAAAUCAAAGCAUUGGUCAACGUCAGCUAAUUUUCUGUUCUAAUUUGGAUCAGAACAAUUUACCUCACACUUCGCUGCUAUAUAUCAAUCUAUCUUUAUAAUCUGCUGAAUGUGGUGAACAUUAACAAGCAUGCAUUGGAUCAAGCAGUUAUAAUGUUGACGCAUAUACGAAAAGGUGAUUUGUUCAACCCGUGUGUAUAAUGACGUUUGAUGUUGAAUCUCUCUUCAAGAAUGCAACAGAUAUUCUUUCGAGUUCAACCAAUUGAAUAUCAUUCAAGUCUGGGAACAAUUAGACAACAUCUAAUUAUGUUCAACUAGCUUCUACAAUUAUUUGGGUUCAUAUCAUUUACCUCAAACUACUGUAGGAUGACGGAUUAGAUGCAAAGGCUAAUAAUGAUAAGGCUUAUUGGAUAUGAGAAUUGUCUAUGGCAGGGAUACAUAGUCCUUAAUAGGCCAUGAGAAUUGUAUAUGAGUGCAUGUCAUUUAGUUUCUAAUGUUAUUUAUGAAUAUUCUUGAUUUUAGGAAUUUUUUUAAUUUGAUUUGAAAAUAUAAUAGGAAUCCCUUAAGAAGAUUGCUUCUACUUUGAUGAAUGUUUCUCCCGACAAUAAAAACAAGUUCCUGAAACUGAUACAGCUUUUGGAUGGGUUCUUGAAAUGUAAUUUUCUUUCUCUUCUCUUAUUAUUUUUAACCUUUCAUAGCCUCACAACAAUUUGAUUGACUUUUUAGGCUAUUUUGAAUCAUUGGUUUAGGUAUGCUUAUGUCAUUUCUUCUGCUCUUCAUAAUAUUUUAAGGACUUUAUGAUUCAGGUUCAAUAAGGUUCUCUUUUUAGUUUUUUUUUACUGUCGUGUGUGUUAUUAACAUUUUGAUGUGCUGAGAAACUGUCAUACUUCAGUCUCAUAUCAAACAUGAUUUGAGAAGAAUAUUGCACAACUAUGUGAUAUGAGACUCAAGAUUUUUCAGUGGUUCUAUAAUCUGUAUUUUUGGUGUAGUUCCAUUUAAAGGAUUUGGUUGUUAUAGGAGUUAUUUAAACAAUUAUCACAUUUGAUUUCGUUUCCUUUUAGUUUUUUUUAUUAAAAACAGUCCUAAUUGUUAGUUAAUAUCAACAGUUUGAUUUGGUUCUCAAAGAAUCAGUUCAUUUUAAAAGCAACUGGCUCACUGAAAAGAUCCACAUGAAGUGACAUUAUGUCUGAAAUAUAUUACUUGUGCAAAAUCUUAUACAUAUAUGUUUAUAACUAUCGCUUGGUUUUAUAUCAAAACUAAUUAAUGUCCUGUGUCGAUGGUUUUCAGAACAUUGCAAAGGAUAGUGACAUCCGAGAAAACUUCAAAAGGCAAUGUCAAAUAUAAGAUGUAUACUUCUAAUGAUUCAGGAAUACUUUAAAGGUGGACUUUGCAAUGUCUGGUAGCUGCAAAUUUGCUUCAGUGUAUAUUUUUUUAGCAUCUGCAAAUUUAGUUACUUAUU